Molecule: RNase P RNA, 305 nt
Filed under: Centipeda flueggei ATCC 43531
Lineage: Bacteria; Bacillati; Bacillota; Negativicutes; Selenomonadales; Selenomonadaceae
Description: Selenomonas flueggei ATCC 43531 bacterial RNase P class A
Rfam family: Bacterial RNase P class A
About the family: Ribonuclease P (RNase P) is a ubiquitous endoribonuclease, found in archaea, bacteria and eukarya as well as chloroplasts and mitochondria. Its best characterised activity is the generation of mature 5'-ends of tRNAs by cleaving the 5'-leader elements of precursor-tRNAs. Cellular RNase Ps are ribonucleoproteins.
Source: RNAcentral
GAGGAAAGUCCGAGCUCCACAGGGCAGUGUGCUGGAUAACGUCCAGCGAGGGUAACCUUAGGGACAGUGCCAUAGAAAUUUAGACCGCCGAUUCUGUCGGUAAGGGUGGAAAGGUGCGGUAAGAGCGCACCAGCAGUCGGGUGAUCGGCUGGCUUUGGUAAACCCCACAUGGAGCAAGACCAAAUAGGGAAGGAUCUCCGGCGGCCCGUCGGCCUUCCGGGUAGUGUCGCUUGAGACGCUUGGCAACAGGCGCCCCAGAUAAAUGAUUGUCACCGCCUCCUUUUGGCGGAACAGAACUCGGCUUA